AUGACGGAGGCAGCCACAUUUCAGAUGCCUUCUGCCCUAAGACGGUUAUUUGCAACUAUACUGGUGUUUUGCGAGGCAACAGAAAUCCGGCAGCUGUGGGACAAACACCUGGCAUCAAUGUCUGAGGAUUACCGUCAUAAUCAAUCCAAUGAGGCAACACUUGAGCAGAUGGUCCUCAGAGAUAUCAGGGAUAUGUUGCAAUCCAUGGGAAAAGAUAUUACAAGCUAUGGACUUCCGGAUUUGGUUGAGCACGAUGGCUCUUCUGACGAUGAGUACAAAGAGGUAACAGAGGAGAGGCAAAUCAGCAUGGACAAAGAACACCUAGAUUUAUUUAGCAGUUUGAACAAUGAGCAGCUGGCUGGUUUCAAUGAAAUAAUGGAUCAUGUGAUGAAACACAAAAGCCAGUCCAGGUUCAAAAUUCCAAUCAAGCUCACUGACAACAUCAUGUGUAGUUUCACAAAGCAGAGUGGUACAACGGUGUUGCUUAAACAAGCCUCCUUGAUAAUUUGGGACGAGGUCGCUAUGACAAAACGUCAAGCAGUUGAGACGCUUGAUAGAUCCCUGCAGUAA
This 570-nucleotide ribosomal RNA is filed under the name Triticum aestivum (bread wheat). RNAcentral describes it as "partial small subunit ribosomal RNA". Lineage: Eukaryota; Viridiplantae; Streptophyta; Magnoliopsida; Poales; Poaceae. The record is from RNAcentral.